This is a long non-coding RNA of Mauremys mutica (yellowpond turtle), 1076 nucleotides long. RefSeq lists it as uncharacterized. The transcript has 3 exons. NCBI's taxonomy places the organism in Eukaryota, Metazoa, Chordata, Testudines, Geoemydidae. The record is from RefSeq and is a predicted model, not a curated record.
UUCCAGUAUGAAUUUGUCUAGCUUCAACUUCCAACGAUUGGAUCAUGUUUUAUCUUUCUCCGCAAGACCAAAGAGCCCAUUAGUAAAUAUUUGUUCCCAGUUUUUCAACAUCCUUCCUGAAUUGUGGACACUAGAACUGGACACAGUAUUCCAACAGCAGUCGUACCAAUGCCAAAUACAGAGGGCACCCCUACCUGAUCCCCAUAUUCCUUCACACCUGGACAGAAGGAAGCCACUGCAGCACUGUGCUCUGUUACACAGAUGGUACAAGAACCUGUCCUCCUUGGUCUUCACAAAUCCCCCUUUGUGUUCCUACUCUUCCCAGUGCAGAAGCAUUACAACAAUUGCAAUGCAUUGGGGGACAAAAUUUGUCUCUAAGAAAUCCUGGGUAUAAUGCAGCCUCAGAUUUUCAGUUACUGAAAUAGUUUCUCUGAAGUCUAGGCAUUUGGUUUCCUGUAUUCUAGUGGACUUACUCUUUGUAAAAUUAAUGUGGAGUGACAAUUAUAGAAGAGUUGGGAAGUGCCACCACAGCCAAAAGAAAAAUGAGAACCUUCACAACACUGGAUAUGGAUGUUGCUUGGCAGGAAAUCCUCAUGGCUCACUCUUUCUGUCAAGCAGGGAAAUAUGUCUGUACAAUUUUACCCAAUAGAAAAUGCAUCUCCCCAUCAGCAGCGCCAGAAAGUGACAAAACAAUCAAACUGUGGAAGAAUGACUGCCCAACAUUUUCAACAGAGCUCAGACAUUGCACCAGGGGAAAAGAACAUUCAUGCAAGAAAAAUAAACCCAGCAUAGUCAGAGAGCUGAAGGCCUGCUAAAGAGGGUGAUUGUCAGUCCUGUCCCAUAGAAAAUAUUCACUUCUGCUUCUGCACAGUGAGUCUAACAGAAAAAUCAAUAUUUUAAAAAAAGGUUUAUUUUCAUUAUUUUAAUAAACAUCUACCAUAGAUAUGAACUGCUCACUAACAACUUGUCCAGUUUUUCUACCAGCAGUAAAUCAAAACAUAAUUUAAGAAUAUAAUAAUAACUCAUGUUAGUGUUGGAGAGAAAUACAGCACAUUAAAUAAUUUUAUAUUAACAGA